This 305-nucleotide ribosomal RNA is filed under the name uncultured bacterium. Its description in RNAcentral is "bacterial SSU rRNA". It matches the Rfam family "Bacterial small subunit ribosomal RNA", at positions 333 to 637 of the family's 1533-position model. The record is from RNAcentral.
UAACCUAUGGGGGGCAGCAGUGAGGAAUAUUGGUCAAUGGGCGGAAGCCUGAACCAGCCAAGUAGCGUGCAGGAUGACGGCCCUACGGGUUGUAAACUGCUUUUAUACGGGAAUAACGCGCCUUACGUGUAGGGCUUUGCAUGUACCGUAUGAAUAAGGACCGGCUAAUUCCGUGCCAGCAGCCGCGGUAAUACGGAAGGUCCGGGCGUUAUCCGGAUUUAUUGGGUUUAAAGGGAGCGUAGGCCGCAUGUCAAGCGUGCUGUGAAAUGUCCGGGCUCAACCCGGGCCUUGCAGCGCGAACUGGG